AACGAACGCUGGCGGCAGGCUUAACACAUGCAAGUCGAGCGCCCCGCAAGGGGAGCGGCAGACGGGUGAGUAACGCGUGGGAACGUACCUUUUGGUUCGGAACAACUCCGGGAAACUGGAGCUAAUACCGGAUAAGCCCUAACGGGGAAAGAUUUAUCGCCGAAAGAUCGGCCCGCGUCUGAUUAGCUAGUUGGUGAGGUAACGGCUCACCAAGGCGACGAUCAGUAGCUGGUCUGAGAGGAUGAUCAGCCACACUGGGACUGAGACACGGCCCAGACUCCUACGGGAGGCAGCAGUGGGGAAUAUUGGACAAUGGGCGCAAGCCUGAUCCAGCCAUGCCGCGUGAGUGAUGAAGGCCUUAGGGUUGUAAAGCGCUUUUGUCCGGGAAGAUAAUGACUGUACCGGAAGAAUAAGCCCCGGCUAACUUCGUG
This 431-nucleotide ribosomal RNA is filed under the name uncultured bacterium. RNAcentral's name for it is "partial 16S ribosomal RNA". It matches the Rfam family "Bacterial small subunit ribosomal RNA", at positions 29 to 507 of the family's 1533-position model. The record is from RNAcentral.